AAUGAACGUUGGCGGCGUGGAUUAGGCAUGCAAGUCGUGCGACAGGCCCGCAAGGGCGCUGAGCGGCGAAAGGGAGAGUAACGCGUAGGUUAUCUACCCUCAGGACCGGGAUAGCUACGGGAAACUGUAGGUAAUACCGGAUGAUGUCUCCGGACUAAAGGUGUGAUUCCGCCUGUGGAGGAGCCUGCGUCCUAUUAGCUAGUUGGUGGGGUAACGGCCUACCAAGGCUGAGAUGGGUACGGGGUAUGAGAGUAUGCCCCCGCUCACUGGGACUGAGACACUGCCCAGACACCUACGGGUGGCAG
RNAcentral lists this ribosomal RNA (305 nucleotides) under uncultured Planctomycetota bacterium. RNAcentral describes it as "bacterial SSU rRNA". It matches the Rfam family "Bacterial small subunit ribosomal RNA", at positions 29 to 351 of the family's 1533-position model. The record is from RNAcentral. Lineage: Bacteria; Pseudomonadati; Planctomycetota.